CUGAAAACAAAGAGAAAGAAGAGUAGCUUAAUCUUUAUUUGCAGCGAGUCUCGUUAGGUGUGAGGAGAUAAUUUCUAAGAUUAAAUGAAAAUCACUUUCGAGUUCUAAUUCUAAAUUUUUUAGUAAGAGUUAGUGGGAGCACCCAUUAUAGUGCCUGCGUAUCGUCAAGUAAUUGACUGCACGUGAAAGGUAUUGCUAGUAAUAGCAAUAUAAAUAAAGGGUGGUACCACGCUCAAAGCGUCCUUCAA
This 248-nucleotide non-coding RNA is filed under the name Lactobacillus hominis. RNAcentral describes it as "T-box sequence". It matches the Rfam family "T-box leader". Rfam says of the family: Uncharged tRNA acts as the effector for transcription antitermination of genes in the T-box leader family. T-boxes are found upstream of many aminoacyl-tRNA synthetase genes and some amino acid biosynthetic genes usually in Gram-positive bacteria. The record is from RNAcentral. Lineage: Bacteria; Bacillati; Bacillota; Bacilli; Lactobacillales; Lactobacillaceae.